CUGCCCAGAAGCAGGGGAUAACACUUGGAAACAGGUGCUAAUACCGUAUAACAACAAAAUCCGCAUGGAUUUUGUUUGAAAGGUGGCUUCGGCUAUCACUUCUGGAUGAUCCCGCGGCGUAUUAGUUAGUUGGUGAGGUAAAGGCCCACCAAGACGAUGAUACGUAGCCGACCUGAGAGGGUAAUCGGCCACAUUGGGACUGAGACACGGCCCAAACUCCUACGGGAGGCAGCAGUAGGGAAUCUUCCACAAUGGACGAAAGUCUGAUGGAGCAAUGCCGCGUGAGUGAAGAAGGGUUUCGGCUCGUAAAACUCUGUUGUUAAAGAAGAACACCUUUGAGAGUAACUGUUCAAGGGUUGACGGUAUUUAACCAGAAAGCCACGGCUAACUACGUGCCAGCAGCCGCGGUAAUACGUAGGUGGCAAGCGUUGUCCGGAUUUAUUGGGCGUAAAGCGAGCGCAGGCGGUUUUUUAAGUCUGAUGUGAAAGCCUUCGGCUUAACCGGAGAAGUGCAUCGGAAACUGGGAGACUUGAGUGCAGAAGAGGACAGUGGAACUCCAUGUGUAGCGGUGGAAUGCGUAGAUAUAUGGAAGAACACCAG
This 600-nucleotide ribosomal RNA is filed under the name Levilactobacillus brevis. RNAcentral's name for it is "bacterial SSU rRNA". It matches the Rfam family "Bacterial small subunit ribosomal RNA", at positions 126 to 712 of the family's 1533-position model. The record is from RNAcentral. Lineage: Bacteria; Bacillati; Bacillota; Bacilli; Lactobacillales; Lactobacillaceae.